This 787-nucleotide ribosomal RNA is filed under the name uncultured euryarchaeote. Its description in RNAcentral is "bacterial SSU rRNA". It matches the Rfam family "Archaeal small subunit ribosomal RNA", at positions 85 to 879 of the family's 1478-position model. The record is from RNAcentral. Lineage: Archaea; Methanobacteriati; Methanobacteriota.
ACGGCUCAGUAACACGUAGCUAACCUACCCUUUGGUUCAAGGAUAACCUCGGGAAACUGAGGCUAAUACUUGAUAGAAAAUAAUUUCUGGAAUGAUUUAUUUUUCAAAUUCGAGCCAAAGAAUGGGGCUGCGGCUGAUUAGGUAGUUGUUGGUGUAAAAGACUAACAAGCCGAUGAUCAGUAAGGGCUCUUAGCGGAGAAGCCCUGAGAAGGAAUCUGAGACACUAUUCCUAGCUCUACGGGGUGCAGCAGUCGAGGAAAUUUUACAAUGCUCGAAAGAGUGAUAAAAUAAACCAGAGUGUUUCUUUUAAAGAAACUUUUGUCAGUUGUAAAAAGACUGGCGAAUAAGGACUGGGCAAGACCGGUGCCAGCCGCCGCGGUAAUACCGGCGGUCCAAGUCGUAUCCACAUUUAUUUGGUCUAAAACAUUCGUAGCUUGUUUGAUAAGUCUCUUGUGAAAUCUGAUAUCUUAAAUAUCAGGCGUGCAAGAGAUACUAUCUUACUAGAGACCGGAAGACGCAAAGAGUAUUGUUGAGGUAGCGGUAAAAUGUGUUAAUCUCAAUUAGACUAACAAUGGCGAAGGCACUUUGCGAGUACGGAUCUGACAGUGAGGGAUGAAGGCUAGGGGCGCAAAAGGGAUUAGAUACCCCUGUAGUCCUAGCAGUAAACACUGCUCACUAAACAUUAGUACCUCCUCGAGAGGUAUUGGUGCUGUAGAGAAGUCGAAGAGUGAGCUACCUGGGAAGUAUAGUCGCAAGACCGAAACUUAAGGAAUUGGCGGGGGAGCAC